UACAACUGAUUAAUUAAAACUCUGAAUGAAAGCCGUCAUGUUGAGCUGAAACGGGUUAUCUGAUCCUCCUACAUGCACAUAAUGGUAGUAGUCAGAGUGUGUAUGAAGCUAGGUAAAGUCGGCUGAAAUGAACCUAAGCUGCUUCUUCAGGAUAUGUUUGUGAUAGGUCGGGAUGCUACAAA
Molecule: non-coding RNA, 182 nt
Filed under: Bacillus sp. UNCCL13
Lineage: Bacteria; Bacillati; Bacillota; Bacilli; Caryophanales; Bacillaceae
Also listed under: 1 other name
Source: RNAcentral